GGAUGAACGCUAGCUACAGGCGUUAACACAUGCAAGUCGAGGGCGAGCACAGCGUAGCAAUACACGGGUGGCGACCGGCGCACGGUGCGUAACGACGUAUCCAACCUUCCCGUUACUCAGGAGUAGCCUUCCGAAAGGGAGAUUAAUACCUGAUGGUGUUCAAAUUCCGCAUGUUAUUUGAACUAAAGAUUUAUCGGUAACGGAUGGGGAUGCGUGACAUUAGGUAGAUGGCGGGGUAACGGCCCACCAUGCCUACGAUGUCUAGGGGUUCUGAGAGGAAGGUCCCCCACACUGGAACUGAGACACGGUCCAGACUCCUACGGGAGGCAGCAGUGAGGAAUAUUGGUCAAUGGUCGGAAGACUGAACCAGCCAAGUAGCGUGAAGGAUGAAGGUUCUAUGGAUUGUAAACUUCUUUAUACGGGAAUAAAACCUCCUACGUGUAGGAGCUUGUAUGUACCGUAUGAAUAAGCAUCGGCUAACUCCGUG
Molecule: ribosomal RNA, 487 nt
Filed under: uncultured bacterium
Lineage: Bacteria
Description: bacterial SSU rRNA
Rfam family: Bacterial small subunit ribosomal RNA
Source: RNAcentral